CCUAGAAUAAAUCUAAGGUGUGACCUGCCCUAUGAUUUUCAAGUCAAUCAACAUAAUCAUUGUUAAGAAAAUUUAAAGGACGCAGUAACCUGACUGUGGUAAUGUAGCAUAAUCACUCGCCAUUUAAUUGAUGGAUAGUAUGAAUGGUUAAACGAAUUCUUCACUGUCUCAAGAAGAGAAUCCAUAAAAUUAAAAUAAUAGUUAAGAUACUAUUUAAAAUUGUAAGACGAAAAGACCCUAUAGAGCUUAACUAUAAUCUUCUUAAAUUUAUAAAUAAGAAGAAGGGUAGUUUAGUUGGGGCGACUAUCUUCUAAAAGAAACGAAGAUAAGCAAAAUUAAUAAAUAUAAAUUUAUUGUAUAAUUAAUAGAUUUAACAAUUACGAAAGUAGGCUAUAUUGACCCGUUAUAAACAAGUGAAACAAAUAACGAUUAAUAAAUAAAAGCUACCUUAGGGAUAACAGGAUAAUUUUGUUCUAGAGACCCUAUCGAAAACAAAGUUUGUCACCUCUAUGUUGAAUUAAGAUAUCCUAAUAGUGCAGAACUUAUUAAGGGUAGGUCUGUUCGACCUUUAAAAU
Molecule: ribosomal RNA, 575 nt
Filed under: Stylaster alaskanus
Lineage: Eukaryota; Metazoa; Cnidaria; Hydrozoa; Anthoathecata; Stylasteridae
Description: partial 16S large subunit ribosomal RNA
Rfam family: Bacterial large subunit ribosomal RNA
Source: RNAcentral